AGGAUAAUAGUUAAAAAUAACAUUUAAUUUGCAUUUAAAAAAUAUUGAUAAAUCAAUUUAUCUUA
RNAcentral lists this transfer RNA (65 nucleotides) under Anthrenus sp. BMNH 840208. RNAcentral's name for it is "tRNA-Ala". The record is from RNAcentral. Lineage: Eukaryota; Metazoa; Arthropoda; Insecta; Coleoptera; Dermestidae.